GAAUCCCGUCUUUGGUACGGACCCCCAGGGCUUCUGUGAUGCGCUCUCGAAGAGUCGAGUUGUUUGGGAAUGCAGCUCAAAAUGGGUGGUGAACUCCAUCUAAAGCUAAAUAUUGGCGAGAGACCGAUAGCGAACAAGUACCGUGAGGGAAAGAUGAAAAGCACUUUGGAAAGAGAGUGAAACAGUACGUGAAAUUGUUGAAAGGGAAACGCUUAAAGUCAGUCGCGUCCGCCGAGACUCAGCCUCGCUCCGGCUCGGUGUACUUCUCGGCCGACGGGUCAGCAUCAAUUUUGCCCCUCGGAUAAUGGCGAGAGAAAGGUGGCACCCUCACGGGUGUGUUAUAGUCUCCCGUCGGAUGCGAGGGUCGGGAUUGAGGAACUCGGCACGUACCGUGCUUAGGAUGUUGGCAUAAUGGCUUUAAACGACCCGUCUUGAAACACGGACCAAGGAGUCUAACAUGCCCGCGAGUGUUCGGGUGGAAAACCCGUGCGCGUAAUGAAAGUAAAAGUUGGGACCCCUGUCGUGGGGGGCACCGACGCCCGGACCAGACCUUCUGUGACGGAUCUGCGGUAGAGCGUGCAUGUUGGGACCCGAAAGAUGGUGAACUAUGCCUGAAUAGGGUGAAGCUAGAGGAAACUCUGGUGGAGGCUCGUAGCGAUUCUGACGUGCAAAUCGAUCGUCAAAUUUGGGUAUAGGGGCGAAAGACUAAUCGAACCAUCUAGUAGCUGGUUCCUGCC
RNAcentral lists this ribosomal RNA (737 nucleotides) under uncultured Russula. RNAcentral describes it as "partial 28S ribosomal RNA". It matches the Rfam family "Eukaryotic large subunit ribosomal RNA", at positions 216 to 962 of the family's 3401-position model. Lineage: Eukaryota; Fungi; Basidiomycota; Agaricomycetes; Russulales; Russulaceae. The record is from RNAcentral.